Non-coding RNA from Chelonoidis abingdonii (Abingdon island giant tortoise), 1441 nucleotides. Lineage: Eukaryota; Metazoa; Chordata; Testudines; Testudinidae. The record is from RefSeq and is a predicted model, not a curated record.
UGGUGUGUAUGAGCAAGAUCUGUGACCAGUUCAUAUCUGGUCCAGAAAUACAGGAUAUGGUGUCAGGACUAAACUAAGAACAGAAACAGAAGGAAAAUUCCAAGAAAGUUUGCAGACAGGAGGAAUAAAACAACAAAUGUUGCAGGAUCUCCUCUUCAUGCCACUCUUCAAUAUCCCAGAGAACUUCAGUAUUGAGAAAUAUUCACAAUGGACAGACUGGAAACAAGAUUUUGCAUUGCCACCAAGUUCCACAAAGAAACUUGAGCUAUACGGUUUAGCAGCUGGGAAUAAGGAGGAGGUGCCAGCACCAUGUAAUGAGCCAGCUGUCAGUAAGCGACCAGCAAGAAGCUCUGCCCUAGAGGCUCCAAUUCGCCAUUCCUUAUGAUGUAAAGAGAAGCAUUAAUAGUUACGAUGGAUGGAAGCCUUUGCCUUUGAAUCUAGGGGGAGAUUCAAAUCAAUUGGAGGGGGAGCAUCACAUUUUCCAUGAAGAACAGGUACAUCAAGAGCAACAGAGCUGAAGGCUUCUCCCACGCUGUCCACCAUCAGUGUGCCCCAACACUGCUCUAGUAGGACCCUUCUUCAGGGAAAUAUUGUGCUGGGGUCUCCAUGUCCAUCUAGUCGCUGGUCUCAUGCUGAGACGGGUGUACAGAGUUACUAAUUACUGCCAAUUAUGUGUUGCGGACACUAGGAACUGGUCUGAAACCACCGAGGUUUCAUCUCACGAAGCAGCUUGCCCCAGAAAGGGGUGGUCUUUUUGCAGGCCAUUCGGGGAGAAACCUUUGCCAGAGACAUGGCGGUCAAGAAUGUCCGUUUCUAUCAGUAGACUGGGCCCAACAGGAAUGAAGGAAACUAUGUCCAUUCUGCAUACCACUUGAGCUGGGUCAUUAUUGUUAUUAUUUAUAUUUCUCCUGGAGACCUGGAACAAGGAUUAGGGCCCCAUUGUGCUAGGAGCUGUACAAACGAGUACUCAAAAGAUUGUUCCUACUCCAGAGAGCAAGAACAAGGGAGUGAGGGAGCUGUUACCGAGACAGAUGAGUAGAAAUAUUUAUGAGUAAUAAUUUUUGACAUCAGAGUGCUGCAGCAGUGAAUUAUUUUAGAACUCACUACCUCAAAGGGUUUGGACUUCCUUGCCUUGCAGUCAGCUAAAGAUGCUGAUGUGAAUUUAGUAAGAAUUAAACAUAUUCUCUCAACUACUGACAUUUCACUUGAACUGCCUUAACUAGGAUUUCUUCUCCCCCACCCUGCCCCAACUUCCUCAGGCUGCAUGAUUUGCGAUGGAACAGAAAAAAAAAAACAGAAGGUUCCAAUCAAACUUACUAACGUAGCUGUCAGUUGGCUGUCGCCCUGGCAAAAGCGUUGUUGAUGCAUAUUGAAAUGUCUCAGUGAGUGAUCAAAAGUUUUCCUGUAUUGCCAUGGAAAUAAAAAGGAAGCUGGAUUUCAA